GGAACUGUGCCUGAAAAAAGGGCCACUUUGAUAGAGCGAAUUAUGAGGGUUAAAGUCCCUCCAGUUCCU
RNAcentral lists this transfer RNA (69 nucleotides) under Leuresthes tenuis (California grunion). Its description in RNAcentral is "tRNA-Ile". It matches the Rfam family "tRNA". From Rfam's summary of the family: Transfer RNA (tRNA) molecules are approximately 80 nucleotides in length. Their secondary structure includes four short double-helical elements and three loops (D, anti-codon, and T loops). Further hydrogen bonds mediate the characteristic L-shaped molecular structure. tRNAs have two regions of fundamental functional importance: the anti-codon, which is responsible for specific mRNA codon recognition, and the 3' end, to which the tRNAs corresponding amino acid is attached (by aminoacyl-tRNA synthetases). tRNAs cope with the degeneracy of the genetic code in two manners: having more than one tRNA (with a specific anti-codon) for a particular amino acid; and 'wobble' base-pairing, i.e. permitting non-standard base-pairing at the 3rd anti-codon position. The record is from RNAcentral. Lineage: Eukaryota; Metazoa; Chordata; Actinopteri; Atheriniformes; Atherinopsidae.